AAUAGGACUUUGAAAAUAAGAAAUAGGUAACUGUAACUCUUUCAUGGAACUAUAGUUUAAAAUAAUAUAGCAUAAGGCAUGGAAAAAUAAACUUCUAAAAUACGUAGGUUUUUAAGAAAAUACAUAUUAACAGUAAUGCUUUAUAUGUAAGCUACAUAUAACAAGAGGGUCAUCUUCCUAAUAUUCAGAGUAAGAGAGACCUACUGGAGAUGGCUUGUUUUGUUUUUCAAGACCACAGAAAGAACUAAAAGUUUUACUUCUCUCUAGGAGGACAGCCAGGCCUCCUGCAAAGGCCGACUGGGUGUACUGUCAGUUGUUGAUAAGCCAUUCAGUUCCACUGUGGAAGAAAGUUGCAGAAUAAAGGCUGAACAACAACAAAUGAAGGAAGGUCGGAGCGGUCUGCAGGAAGGGUGCCAGUCUGCAGGAAGUUGCCCAUCAUGGGCUGGGAAUCCCCUUUAACACUUGGCAUCUGCCAACUCUUCCUGGGGUGCUACACAAAUUCUCUGGGCUUUCCUACAAUCCAAAGGAGAGAGAAGCCCCUCAGAAUGAAGGAUAAUCUUUCUGCCUAUAUGGGUAGUGGGAGAGCUUACUCUAAUUGGAUCUGAAAAAGUAAAUGUGAUAGGACAGUUUAUGCUUGUUAAAUAAUGCUUUGAAUAGAACUUUUCAAAUUAUAUUUCAAUCUAAAAGUGGCAAAAAUUCUAUCAGUAAAAGAAUUCCUACACUGGUCAUAGAAGUAUUGGGACAUUAGUAAAAUAUACAAAUACAUUUACCCACGGAACGAUGAAUUACACUCAAAAUUCUUAUGCAGCCUCCUGAAGGCAUGAGGCUGUCCCUUGUCUUGGGAGGGGUUUUCAGUCUACCAGAUAGAGCACUGCUUCUCAAACUUCAGUGUGAAUACUGACCAUCCUGGGAGUUUGUUAAAGUGCAGAAUUCUACGUUUGAUGACAAGCUCCUAAGUGAUGCUGAUGCUGUAAUUACAGACCUUAAUUUGGGUAGCAGUGACUUAGAGCUGCCUGCCUAGGUAAGUGUACACGAUUCACUCUAGUAACUAGAUUACUUUUCAAAAUAGGAAACUUUACAUUUGAAACUUACUUGUUAAGAUCAACUUCUGUGAGUCUUCUAUGAAAAUCUGAAGCAGCAUCUGAGAAGUUUUUCACAGCAGAAAAUAAAGAAUCUUUUAAAAAUAGAAAAAUGGAAGGUAUAUUAGUAAAUGCUUCUUAUUUCAGAUGUUCACUUCCCUGCCCUCCACAUUCCAGGAUGACAGGACUGAAUAGAUAUUAAAACUGUUUUUCUACUGAGCCUUCUUGUACAUCCAUGAAGAUAUUGUAACAAAGAGAUAAUGGAUAAAACAACAUUUCUAAAUUGGUUCUUCAUAAAGGAACUUUCAAGAGUCUAGGACAUAAUUAUUUUAACUCCUAAUUUACCAUUCAUGUAGAUAAUCAUUCAAUAUAUAUUAAUACAACUUCUAUAUGCUAGAUACUGGCUACAGCUAUAAAUUGAGCUGUGUUCCUGCAAUAAUUAGAGAAUAAAUCAAUGUUAACCAACCCCUCUUUUUAAGCAGUGCAUUUAAGAUCUUGUUUAAAUGCAACCUGUGACAAGCUGGUGUAUGUGGACUCAAACAGGAUCAGGUCUGGUCUAGUCAAGUUUUUCUUUAGUUAACAUAGAUUCUAAGAAGUGAGAAGAUUCUCAACAUAUUUUUUUAUUACAACAACCUGUAUCAUUUUCCAUCUUUUCUAAACUGAACAUUAGCAUAAAUCAUUGAUUUCCUUCAUUAAUCCUGUGAUACAGGGAAUACAAUAUUCAUUUGGCAGAGAAAGCACUUACUGCUCCACAGGAUUUCUGUUAGGUCACACAGCUAGUAAAUAGUUACUUUCAAUAUAAAAGACAAGGUCUUUUUUAGCCCUAGAUAUCCUUUAAGCUCUAAUUAUUGUUGCUAUUCUUAAAGCCAAGUACAAAAUAAUCUAAUAAUAGAUAUUUUUGAAGCCAAAGAGUGUUGAGGAAAGAAUUUUAAAUUUCCAAUGAAUCACAAUAGUCAAAUUGGAUAAGAAAUAAAACAUGUGCCUGGUAUUUAGUAACCAGUGAAUAACUUUGGCAAAAGCAAUUUCAGUAGAGUGUUAGGAAGAUAGGACAGUACUAGAUUGGUAGAAGGAAGUAGAGAACUGGAGACCAUGUAAAUUACAUAUCCAUCCUAUCCAUCAUUCAUUCAUUAAAACAUGUUAGGGACUGCUUUUUGCCUGGCACUAAAUGAAGAAUUUUGAUUGGGAAGGGAGUAGGGUACAUUAGGUAGAAGAAAUGUUUAUAAGAAAGUUACAAAAUGGUUUAACGUGGAUGGAAUAUUGCCACUGAGGUGGAGAGGGUGAAAAUAUGGGGGGAAAGGGGCAUUAAUAGAGUAGGUUAAGUCACUUUGUGUGAAGAGUGGCCUUCCCCUGUAACUGUGUGCUUUCUCUCUCGGUUGGAUCCUGACUUAAAGUGAUAAAAGGUAAUUCACCAAAAGAAAAUCGGGGCAUCUAGGAAAAGAAGAGGAUGCUGGCGAGCCACAGAACUGUGAAUGUCUAUCUCGCUGCCAGCUCUGCUUUUUCCGAUUUCUUUUGCCUCGUUAAAGAGACUCGCCAAUCCAAUUUUUCUUAGAAACUAGACAACUGUGUUCAGAUUGAUGACAGAAUAUAAAAGUGAACAGGCCUUGAAAGAGUUUAAUGAGUAUCAGGAUACAGAUUUAUUUUGCUUUCAUCUCUGUUCUGAUUCUGGAGAAUCAGAUUUACAAAAGGUAUGUAUUCUAGGCAAGCAAAACUGUGUAUUGCAAUUAUGAUUUGAAAAUUAUUAAAAUCUGUGACAAAUCUG
This is a long non-coding RNA of Herpailurus yagouaroundi (jaguarundi), 2838 nucleotides long. RefSeq lists it as uncharacterized. The transcript has 2 exons. The record is from RefSeq and is a predicted model, not a curated record. Lineage: Eukaryota; Metazoa; Chordata; Mammalia; Carnivora; Felidae.